AAUAAUGAUAAGUUAAGCGUUUACAAAUUUAGAAGGAGUGAAGAAAAUGGGAACAAUCGUUUGUCAAUCUUGCUUGAGUACAAUGGAUCACUUUGAAGAUGAGAAAGUUUCUAUUUUAUACUCUCAUUGCGGCUGCGAAGAAGAGACCGAAUUAGAUGACUAAUAGAAAAUAAAUGAAACAUAUAAAAGAGCUGGGAACAGAUCAUCUGCUCCCAGCUUU
RNAcentral lists this small RNA (220 nucleotides) under Bacillus thermotolerans. Its description in RNAcentral is "Quasibacillus thermotolerans SR1 sRNA". It matches the Rfam family "SR1 sRNA". The record is from Rfam by way of RNAcentral. Lineage: Bacteria; Bacillati; Bacillota; Bacilli; Caryophanales; Bacillaceae.